AGUGUGACGGGGUUACCCAAAGUGUUCAAUUUUGAACUGUGGUAGGUGAGUAAUGUUCCCUACUAGAAAGGAGAGGGCAAGGCUGGUGCCAGCCGCCGCGGUAAAACCAGCUCUUCAAGUGGUCGGGAUAAUUAUUGGGCUUAAAGUGUCCGUAGCCGGUUUAGUAAGUUCCUGGUAAAAUCGGGUAGCUUAACUAUCUAUAUGUUAGGAAUACUACUAUACUAGAGGGCGGGAGAGGUCUGAGGUACUACAGGGGUAGGGGUGAAAUCUUAUAAUCCUUGUUGGACCACCAGUGGCGAAGGCGUCAGACUGGAACGCGCCUGACGGUGAGGGACGAAAGCCAGGGGAGCGAACCGGAUUAGAUACCCGGGUAGUCCUGGCCGUAAACGAUGCAUACUAGGUGAUGGCACGGCCAUGAGCCGUGUCAGUGCCGUAGGGAAACCGUUAAGUGUGCCGCCUG
Molecule: ribosomal RNA, 460 nt
Filed under: uncultured archaeon
Lineage: Archaea
Description: bacterial SSU rRNA
Rfam family: Archaeal small subunit ribosomal RNA
Source: RNAcentral